Molecule: ribosomal RNA, 497 nt
Filed under: uncultured bacterium
Lineage: Bacteria
Description: partial 16S ribosomal RNA
Rfam family: Bacterial small subunit ribosomal RNA
Source: RNAcentral
GAUGAACGCUGGCGGCGUGCCUAAUACAUGCAAGUCGAGCGAACAGACGAGGAGCUUGCUCCUCUGGCGUUAGCGGCGGACGGGUGAGUAACACGUGGAUAACCUACCUAUAAGACUGGGAUAACUUCGGGAAACCGGAGCUAAUACCGGAUAAUAUAUUGAACCGCAUGGUUCAAUAGUGAAAGACGGUUUUGCUGUCACUUAUAGAUGGAUCCGCGCCGCAUUAGCUAGUUGGUAAGGUAACGGCUUACCAAGGCAACGAUGCGUAGCCGACCUGAGAGGGUGAUCGGCCACACUGGAACUGAGACACGGUCCAGACUCCUACGGGAGGCAGCAGUAGGGAAUCUUCCGCAAUGGGCGAAAGCUUGACGGAGCAACGCCGCGUGAGUGAUGAAGGUCUUCGGAUCGUAAAACUCUGUUAUUAGGGAAGAACAAAUGUGUAAGUAACUAUGCACGUCUUGACGGUACCUAAUCAGAAAGCCACGGCUAACUACGUG